This 207-nucleotide ribosomal RNA is filed under the name Staphylococcus aureus. RNAcentral describes it as "partial 16S ribosomal RNA". It matches the Rfam family "Bacterial small subunit ribosomal RNA", at positions 730 to 935 of the family's 1533-position model. Lineage: Bacteria; Bacillati; Bacillota; Bacilli; Caryophanales; Staphylococcaceae. The record is from RNAcentral.
UGGUCUGUAACUGACGCUGAUGUGCGAAAGCGUGGGGAUCAAACAGGAUUAGAUUCCCUGGUAGUCCACGCCGUAAACGAUGAGUGCUAAGUGUUAGGGGGUUUCCGCCCCUUAGUGCUGCAGCUAACGCAUUAAGCACUCCGCCUGGGGAGUACGACCGCAAGGUUGAAACUCAAAGGAAUUGACGGGGACCCGCACAAGCGGUGG